GCAGGCCUCCCGUGGACAACAACGCCAGCCCUCCCGAAAUGCAGAGACAAGUGGGAAGCCUUGCAAUGCUUUUUUUGCGUGGGGCACGUGGGUCCGGCCGAAGAAGAGGACGGCACAAUGGAGGGAUUCAAUUAGUGCGUUACAUGCUCCAGUGGGCCUGCACAGCCUUGGGAGAGACCUGACCUCCGAAAAGGAAGAAGAGGAGGAGGAGGAGGAGGAGGGGACCGGCAAAAAGAGAUUGCACCGGGAAAAAUGGAAAAUAAGUGGGAGAAGACAAGAGCAAAGAAAGCGCCAAGUCUCUCCUCCCGUGGAACUUACUUCUCUGGGAUUUUUUUUUUCCUCCUCCUGCAAAGGAAGCCAAUGACGCCAGUGGAAAGCAAUCCAAUGCCUGCGUCCCGGGACCAGACAAAGGAUCUGAAGCCUCUUUCUCGACUCCAUAAGUCUGCUGUGAGCCGCUCUCCGUCCAAAUUGAUUCCAGACAGAAUUCGGGGCAGGAGAAGCCGAGCAGCGCUUUCUGGGGCCGGAGAGAGAGUCUCCCACCGGCAGGUUUUGGGCCGCCGUAAAAAGCCCAGCCUGUUUCGAAUUAGGCCGGCCCGCUCUCUUCCUCCGCACCCCAAUAAAUCUCAGUCUGGAUUUGGGAUUAUUUUGCGGGCGAGGAAUGAGACACAAAGAGGAGGAGAGCCCAAAAGCGCUUCUUUGGUGUGGGAUUUGGGAGAACAAAGGAAGAAGCCCAAGUGAGAAAGAGAUAGGAGGAUGAUGAUGAUGAUGAUGAUAAUGAUAGGUAAAGACUAGAGUCUCCUUUGGGAGAAAUAAAAAGGGCAAUAAUACCAUGUUUCCCCGAAAAUAGGACAGUGUCUUAUAUUAAUUUUUGCUCCCAAAGAUGCGCUAGGUCUUAUUUUCAGGGGAUGUCUUAUUUUUCCAUGAAGAAAAAUUCACAUUUAUUGUUGAACAAAAAAAUUAACAUUUAUUAUAUACUGUGCAGUAGUUGUCAUCACAAACCAGCAUACCCAGACAAACUGUGAAUCCUAUCAAGAAUUUCUUAUUACUACCAAUAUUUCCAUGUACAACAUUCUAUGGUACGCACAUUUACCAAUCCUGCAUGCUCUGGUGUUCUGUUCCUUGGGCAUGCUUCCAAACAAAAACUUUGCUAGGUCUUACUUUCGGGGGAGGCCUUAUAUUUAGCAAUUCAGCAAAAUCUCUACUAGGUCUUAUUUUCUGGGGAUGUCUUAUUUUAGGGGAAACAGGGUAAUAAUAAUAAUAAUAAUAAUGCCCUGGCAGAAUAUGUAAAGCAAAGUGAAGAACCUGCUUUGAUUGAAGUCAAAAAUCAGAAACUCCUCAAAACACAGCAGACAACAAACCAGUACAAGAAAACCGCACUACAAACUAGAGCUGACAGCUGGCACAACAAAACACUGCAUGGAAAGUUCCUUGACAAAAUUGAAGGAAAAGCUGAUAAGGAGAAGACCUGGCUCUGGCUCACGAAUGGGACCCUGAAGAAGGAGACAGAAGGCCUGAUCCUUGCAGCCCAGGAGCAAGACAUCAGGACAAAGGCAAUUAAUAAUAAUAAUAAUAAUAAUAAUAAUAAUAAUAAUAAUAAUAAUAAUAAUGAUGAUGAAGAAGGAGACAGAAGGCCUGAUCCUUGCAGACCAGGAGCAAGCCAUCAGGACAAAGGCAAUUAAUAAUAAUAAUAAUAAUAAUAAUAAUAAUAAUAAUAAUAAUAAUGAUGAUGAAGAAGGAGACAGAAGGCCUGAUCCUUGCAGACCAGGAGCAAGCCAUCAGGACAAAGGCAAUUAAUAAUAAUAAUAAUAAUAAUAAUAAUAAUAAUAAUAAUAAUGAUGAUGAUGAUGAAGAAGGAGACAGAAGGCCUGAUCCUUGCAGACCAGGAGCAAGACAUCAGGACAAAGGCAAUUAAGGCCAAGAUCGAAAAAUCAGCUGAGGACCCAAAAUGCAGACUGUGCAAAGAAACCGAUGAAACCAUGGAUCAUAUCCUCAGCUGCCGUAAGAAAAUUGCAGACAGACUACAAACAGAGGCACAACUAUGUGGCCCAAAUGAUUCAUUGGAACUUAUGCCUCAAGUACCACCUCCCAGCAGCAAAGAACUGGUGGGAUCACAAACCUGCAAAAGUAUUGGAAAAUGAGCACGCAAAGAUACUGUGGGACUUCCGAAUCCAGACUGACAAAAGUUCUGGAACACAACACACCAGACAUCACAGUUGUGGAAAAGAAAAAGGUUUGGAUCAUUGAUGUCGCCAUCCCAGGUGACAGUCGCAUUGACGAAAAACAACAGUAAAAACUCAGCCGCUGUCAGGACCUCAAGACUGAACUUCAAAGACUCUGGCAGAAACCAGUGCAGGUGGUCCCGGUGGUGAUGGGCACAUUGGGUGCCGUGUCAAAAGAUCUCAGCCGGCAUUUGGAAACAAUAGACAUUGACAAAAUUACGAUCUGCCAACUGCAAAAGGCCACCCGACUGGGAUCUGCACGCAUCAUCCGAAAUACAUCACACAGUCCUAGACACUUGGGAAGUGUUUGGCUUGUGGUUUUGUGAUACGAAAUCCAGCAUGUCUAUCUUGUUUGCUGUGACAUAAUAAAAUAAUAAUAAUUCUUCCAUGGACCCCAAAUUUCUGCCCAGAUGUUCCUCAUCUGCCGGCCGGCCCUGCAAGAUGGAUAUCUCUGUUCUUCUCCUUUCUGGGCCGAGACCCAAAAGGGAUUGGGGGGCCAGGGAGAGGGUCUUGGGGACCGGAGGCUGAGCUUCAUCAUCCAGGACCCCCUCCCGCCCCUCUGACCGGCUCCCUGCCCCGCAGGAGGGUCGCGCCUGCACUAGACCGGAUGAUCAAAACCAGAUUGUGCCUCCUCUCUCUUUUCUCUCCACGGGGCUUUUCUUUUUUGUAACACUCUUUCCCUUCCGCUUCCCCUUUAUCUCAUAUUUGGGACCCCCCCCCCCCAAAAAAAAGGACCUGGCUUUGUUACCAAUCUCUCACCUUUGUAAAAUCCCAACCUAUAAAACAGCCCCCUUCCCAGUCUUUUAACUGAGGGAAAGUUGUGUUUUUUUCUUUGUGACAACAAGUCCCAACAUCCACAGAGAGUGGGCUUCCUGCUUGAGAAAAGUAACUUGAAUCCUAGCCUUGGAAUGAGAUGAAAGAGUUUGCGAAGAAGGGGGUUCAUCAGAGUAUGGAGGGGAACAACAACAACAACAAUAACAUACGUACGUAUGUCAGGUCCCAGAAUCCACUGACUGAGAUUGUUGGCCCCAUUUGAGGAGGCAACCCCUGGUAGUGAGACCAGGGAGAAGCUUGUUGGCAGAAACCCAGGCAAGUGAUCCGCCUGAGCUGCCCAUUGUGAGUGAGUCCCUGCUGUGGCGAGCAUACCGAUCAGGCCCAAUUGAAAUUAGGCAGCAAGCAAGGUGAUUUUCAGCCAAGGAAGAUUUUAUUAUCUGCAAAUAAGAUGCUAGCUAGUGAUACAUUCACAAAGUAGAUAGCAUCCAGAAUACAGUUUCACAGCCCUUUCUAUACAUAGGCUGCAGCCAAGCCUCUAAUUCUGACCACACAGCCACUGGCCAGCAUGGGCUGGGAACUAAGGAUGAUUAAGUGUCGAUGAAUGGGGUUCUUUGACCCUACCCAGGAAUGCUAUUGUCUUAUGAGAUGAACAUGGCAUGGCCCCUUAAUAGGGCUGGCCUAGCAGUUCCAGAUCCCAGAGAAACAAAACAUCAUAUAUUAAUAUAAUCAUGCAAAAAUGACAGAGGAUGGGUUUGGCUGUAGACAUGCAGAUUUCCUUCUGAUGCGAGAGGUCCUGUUCAUCAAAGGUGCAGUGUGGUGAAAUUGGUUCUUCCCCAAGGAUGGGGAGAGGUGAUCUCCCCCGCCUGAAUAGAAGUAUUGUGUUGCAAUGUCCAGGUAAAGUCCAAGAGACUGGUGAGGCUGGAAAAUGAUGAGGAAAUUCCCAGCUUGGUUUCUUUCCCCCAGGCUAUGCAAUUGUUUGGGAUGCAAGACAUCUUUGGGUUCCGGAACAAAGUUUCCCACAAAGGGAAGGAAUGGGGAUCUCAGGAGCAUAAAACUAGGUUAACACAACAUAUAGGCAAAAUAGGAACACAUAGGAAAAACAUGGAGCAUUUAGGGGAAUUUAUAUACAUGAGAAACAUAGUUUUCCAAAGUACCUUUAACAAGCCAGGCUUCCCAGAGGAAAAAUGGGAAGGAAGGCAGGCAGAGUGGAAGAAAAGGGGAAAAAAAGAGAAAAAAGG
Long non-coding RNA from Anolis carolinensis (green anole), 4231 nucleotides. RefSeq lists it as uncharacterized. The record is from RefSeq and is a predicted model, not a curated record. The transcript has 3 exons. Lineage: Eukaryota; Metazoa; Chordata; Lepidosauria; Squamata; Anolidae.